RNAcentral lists this non-coding RNA (90 nucleotides) under Ruminococcus sp. RNAcentral describes it as "c-di-GMP sequence". It matches the Rfam family "c-di-GMP-I riboswitch aptamer". Rfam says of the family: GEMM was predicted in a large-scale screen for bacterial structured RNA regulatory elements. Genes associated with GEMM are involved in a diverse array of functions, including chemotaxis regulation, signal transduction, secretion and chitin. RNAcentral also lists the same sequence under 1 other name. The record is from RNAcentral. Lineage: Bacteria; Bacillati; Bacillota; Clostridia; Eubacteriales; Oscillospiraceae.
GCAAAUAAAAGGCAAAACCGAUGAAAAUCGGCGGCGCAAAGCACGAGCCUAAGCUCUGAAUUUUCAAGGUACGGCGGUCGGGCUGCAUUU